This 370-nucleotide ribosomal RNA is filed under the name Timon princeps princeps. Its description in RNAcentral is "partial 12S ribosomal RNA". Lineage: Eukaryota; Metazoa; Chordata; Lepidosauria; Squamata; Lacertidae. The record is from RNAcentral.
UUAUUAUACAACACCUUCCGCCAGGAACUACAAGUAAAAAACUUAAAACUCAAAGGACUUGACGGUAUUCCAUAUCGACCUAGAGGAGCCUGUCCUAUAAUCGAUACCCCCCGUUCCACCCAACCUCAGCUAGCAAAACACAGCCUAUAUACCGCCGUCGACAGCCUACCCUAUGAAGGUUUAACAGUAAGCACAACAGCCUAACCGCUAAUACGUCAGGUCAAGGUGUAGCAAAUGAUGAGGAAGAGAUUGGCUACAUUUUUUAUCUUAAAAAACACGAAAAGUACUAUGAAACACUACUUGAAGGUGAAUUUAGUAGUAAAAUAGACAAGACUAUCUAUUUUAAUAUCGCUCUGGAAUGCGUACACAC